RNAcentral lists this ribosomal RNA (1603 nucleotides) under human gut metagenome. RNAcentral describes it as "bacterial LSU rRNA". It matches the Rfam family "Bacterial large subunit ribosomal RNA", at positions 810 to 2499 of the family's 2925-position model. The record is from RNAcentral.
UGUGGAUAGCGGAGAAAUUCCAAUCGAACCCGGAUAUAGCUGGUUCUCCCCGAAAUAGCUUUAGGGCUAGCGUUGUAUUAGAUUUCUGGGGGUAAAGCACUGAAUAGGCUAGGGGCCGAGAGGUUACUGAACCUUAUCAAACUAAGAAUACCAGAAAAUUGAUGUACAGCAGUCAGACUAUGUGAGAUAAGUCUCAUAGUCAAAAGGGAAACAGCCCAGACCCACAGCUAAGGUCCCAAAACAGAUUUAAGUGGAAAAGGAUGUGGGAUUGCCCAGACAACCAGGAUGUUGGCUUAGAAGCAGCCACACAUUAAAAGAGUGCGUAAUAGCUCACUGGUCGAGUGAUCCUGCGCCGAAAAUUCAACGGGGCUAAAAUUUGUACCGAAGCUUGGGCUUGAUACAUUCGUAUCAGGGGGAGGGGAGCGUCAUGUAUGAGGUGAAGUCGUAGCGGAAGCGGCGGUGGAUUGUACAUGAGAGAGAAUGCCGGAAUGAGUAGCGAGAAUUAUGUGAGAAUCAUAAUGGCCGAAAAUCUAAGGUUUCCUGAGGAAGGUUCGUCCGCUCAGGGUAAGCCGGGAGCUAAGGUGAGGCGGAAACGCGUAGCCGAUGCACAUACGGUAGAGAUUCCGUAGCCUCCGAAAAGUAAAGCACAGGGACGCUUCAGAAGUGUUACGCCGGGCGAUGGUUGCCCCGGUUGUAAAGGACACAAUUGAGUGGAAGGUAACAUGGAUGGAGACAAGAAAAGCUGUGUGUAUCUGGAAGGAGCCCGUACCGCAAACCGACACAGGUAGAUAGGAAGAAGAUUCUAAGGCCAGCGGGAGAAGGGUUGUUAAGGAACUCGGCAAGUUGACCCCGUAACUUCGGGAGAAGGGGUGCUUACGAAGGUAAGCCGCAGAGAAUAGGCCCAAGCGACUGUUUAGCAAAAACACAGCUCUAUGCUAAAUCGAAAGAUGACGUAUAUGGGGUGACACCUGCCCGGUGCUGGAAGGUUAAGAGGAGAUGUGAGAGCAUUGAAUUGAAGCCCCAGUAAACGGCGGCCGUAACUAUAACGGUCCUAAGGUAGCGAAAUUCCUUGUCAGGUAAGUUCUGACCCGCACGAAUGGUGUAACGAUUUGGGCACUGUCUCAACAACCUACCCGGCGAAAUUGUAGUACCGGUGAAGAUGCCGGUUACCCGCGACUAGACGGAAAGACCCCAUGGAGCUUCACUGUAGCUUAAUAUUGAAUUUUGGUAUUUCAUGUACAGGAUAGGUGGGAGACUGGGAAAUACAGGCGUCAGCUUGUAUGGAGUCACUGUUGGGAUACCACUCUUGAGGUGCUGAAAUUCUAACCUGCGUCUUUGAAUCAAGACGGGGGACAUUGUUAGGUGGGCAGUUUGACUGGGGCGGUCGCCUCCAAAAGAGUAACGGAGGCGCUCAAAGGUUCGCUCAGCAUGGACGGAAACCAUGCCAAAGAGUGCAAACGCAAAAGCGAGCCUAACUGCGAGACUGACGGGUCGAGCAGUAACGAAAGUUGGAGUUAGUGAUCCGGCGGUAUGUGAAUGGAAAUGCCGUCGCUCAACGGAUAAAAGCUACCCUGGGGAUAACAGGCUGAUCUCCCCCAAGCGU